AUGAAUCUAUUUGACACACUUGAAGCAGUUACUGUCUGCUAAGGUUUCCACUACAGAUGCAAGAAAAACAUCCUCGCGCUUUCUGCCUGUCUGAUUGUGGCAGUCCAGAUUGAAUGGGGGAACACAGGG
RNAcentral lists this small nucleolar RNA (129 nucleotides) under Moschus moschiferus (Siberian musk deer). RNAcentral describes it as "Small nucleolar RNA SNORA31 (ENSMMSG00000012840.1)". It matches the Rfam family "Small nucleolar RNA SNORA31". From Rfam's summary of the family: ACA31 (SNORA31) belongs to the H/ACA class of snoRNAs which are thought to guide the sites of modification of uridines to pseudouridines. ACA31 is predicted to guide the pseudouridylation of U3713 in 28S rRNA and U218 in 18S rRNA. This family includes the mouse homologue snoMBI-161. Lineage: Eukaryota; Metazoa; Chordata; Mammalia; Artiodactyla; Moschidae. The record is from Rfam by way of RNAcentral.